This 437-nucleotide ribosomal RNA is filed under the name uncultured Acidobacteriota bacterium. RNAcentral describes it as "bacterial SSU rRNA". It matches the Rfam family "Bacterial small subunit ribosomal RNA", at positions 958 to 1393 of the family's 1533-position model. The record is from RNAcentral. Lineage: Bacteria; Pseudomonadati; Acidobacteriota.
AACGGGAAGAACCUUACCUGGGCUNGANNGGAUUCUCAACGNCGGGUAGAAAUNCAUGGUACCCCGCAAGGGGGUGGAGUCGAGGUGCUGCAUGGCUGUCGUCAGCUCGUGUCGUGAGAUGUUGGGUUAAGUCCCGCAACGAGCGCAACCCUUGUCCUGUGUUGCCAUCAUUCAGUUGGGAACUCGCAGGAGNCCGCCAGCGAUAAGCUGGAGGAAGGUGGGGAUGACGUCAAGUCCUCAUGGCCUUUAUGUCCAGGGCUACACACGUGCUACAAUGGACGGUACAAACCGCAGCAAACCCGCGAGGGGGAGCCAAUCGGAAAAAACCGUUCUCAGUUCGGAUUGCAGGCUGCAACUCGCCUGCAUGAAGCUGGAAUCGCUAGUAAUGGCAGAUCAGCACGCUGCCGUGAAUACGUUCCCGGGUCUUGUACACACGC